This 492-nucleotide ribosomal RNA is filed under the name uncultured bacterium. RNAcentral describes it as "partial 16S ribosomal RNA". It matches the Rfam family "Bacterial small subunit ribosomal RNA", at positions 29 to 507 of the family's 1533-position model. The record is from RNAcentral.
AGUGAACGCUGGCGGUAGGCCUAACACAUGCAAGUCGAACGGCAGCACAGUAAGAGCUUGCUCUUACGGGUGGCGAGUGGCGGACGGGUGAGGAAUACAUCGGAAUCUACUUUUUCGUGGGGGAUAACGUAGGGAAACUUACGCUAAUACCGCAUACGACCUACGGGUGAAAGCAGGGGAUCUUCGGACCUUGCGCGAUUGAAUGAGCCGAUGUCGGAUUAGCUAGUUGGCGGGGUAAAGGCCCACCAAGGCGACGAUCCGUAGCUGGUCUGAGAGGAUGAUCAGCCCCCCUGGAACUGGGACACGGUCCAGACUCCUACGGGAGGCCGCAGUGGGGAAUAUUGGACAAUGGGCGCAAGCCUGAUCCAGCCAUACCGCGUGGGUGAAGAAGGCCUUCGGGUUGUAAAGCCCUUUUGUUGGGAAAGAAAAGCAGCAGGUUAAUACCCCGCUGUUCUGACGGUACCCAAAGAAUAAGCACCGGCUAACUUCGUG